This 442-nucleotide ribosomal RNA is filed under the name uncultured bacterium. RNAcentral describes it as "partial 16S ribosomal RNA". It matches the Rfam family "Bacterial small subunit ribosomal RNA", at positions 338 to 795 of the family's 1533-position model. The record is from RNAcentral.
CCUACGGGUGGCAGCAGUGGGGAAUAUUGGGCAAUGGGCGCAAGCCUGACCCAGCAACGCCGCGUGAAGGAAGAAGGCUUUCGGGUUGUAAACUUCUUUUAAGAGGGAAGAGCAGAAGACGGUACCUCUUGAAUAAGCCACGGCUAACUACGUGCCAGCAGCCGCGGUAAUACGUAGGUGGCAAGCGUUGUCCGGAUUUACUGGGUGGAAAGGGCGUGCAGCCGGGAAGACUAGUCAGAUGUGAAAUCCCGGGGCUCAACCGCGGAACUGCAUUUGAAACUGUUUUUCUUGAGUACCGGAGAGGUCAUCGGAAUUCCGUGUGUAGCGGUGAAAUGCGUAGAUAUAAGGAAGAACACCAGUGGCGAAGGCGGAUGACUGGACGGCAACUGACGGUGAGGCGCGAAAGCGUGGGGAGCAAACAGGAUUAGAUACCCGUGUAGUC